UGAGCCACUGUAGGUAGAUGAAUACCAGAAUAUUAGAUGUGAGAAUGCAAAGAGUGUAGACUGACCACAGAGAAGGAAAAAUGCCUGUAACCUCGUGACACCACCAAGAGAUUGGUGCCAGCAUGAGAUUUCUUCUCAGUGGAUCUCAGUUCUACCAUCACUCUAGAGAGAUCAGGCGAUGGGAUGGAAAAGUACUGUUCUGAAUUCCUUGAUGUUCAAGAAUUGUGAUAACCAUGGAAAUGUUUUCGCUACCCAGAGUCUCCAGUUCCACAUUACUGGAAAGGCCAGCUCAGGCCACCCCUACCAGGAAGCUCAACAUCCACUUCCCAGGACUUACUGCACAUUCGCCAAGUCCACCUCCUUCGUCCUUCAUUCCUCUCAGAUGGAAGGUCAGCGUCCUUCCUCCCCUCUCUGGUCUCUCUCCCAUCCACAUUGACUCUCUGAAAAAGUCUGCAGAGUCGGGCAAACAAGGCCAUCACUGCAAUGUCCAGCCUCUGACUGAGAAAUCUCAGUGGGUUUGUUGUCACUACAACACUGGUGACAUCACGGAGGUUGCUAAGAACUCUCCAGGAGACAAUAGAACGUCCAAGAAGGGACUGCUGAUGUCAUGGACUACAUACAGCCUUUGGUUCCCUGCUAAUGUUUCCCUGUACUGAUAGGAAACUGAGCUGCCCUUUCCUGGGGCAUAGCCAUUGAGCACAUCCUCCUUCCAAAGCCAGGGUUUGCUCUAGGCUUGAUUGGCAACACCUAAGUAAUUCCUAUGUAUCUAACUGAGUGUUUCCUUUCCAAACCCUUCUCAGAAAUAUCUCAUCCUACCUUAAAUUUUCCUCAAUCAGCAGUAGGAGCCAUUAAAACCUACUGAGAAAUCAUACCAGUUCGAAUAUGCAGCCAAAAUCUACUCCUGUCUCAUCAUGUACAGGUGCAUGAAAUCUCAUCCAGGCUGAACCUGCAGGGCUGGGUGUAGUGUGGGUGUGUGUUAGGGGCCACACUCAUGAAGCCUUGUGCUUAGCAUUUGAAAUUUGCCCCAAGAUCCCUUAGGAGGGAGACAUGCAGUCAUCAUGCAGUCAUCACUCAGUCAUUAUGCUUCUGACAACAGUCUAGAGAUCUGUUGGCAGAGGAAACUGAAAUAUUGGAGCCACAAAUGAGUGGCCCUCAGAUUGUGUGUGGGUUUUUCUCACUGCACCAAACUCACCAAUCAGUAUUGCUUAUAGCCCUCUGUGUGCUAGACCAUGAGAUUUUGUUUGUAAUAAAUAAUAUAUUCAACAGAGUUGCAGAUGUGCAGGUAGAAAGUGUAGUCUAAUACUAUAGACAGGUUAGUUGACAGAGUAAGGGUCUAGCAUCUUGUAUUUGGGUUCAUGUUUGGAUCCACAAACCACACAAAACCCAAUCCUAGUCAAACAUCAAUGAUUCAUUAAAUGCAGACCCUAAAGUUGAUUGAUCAGAACCAUAGCUCAGGUUUUGGGGGUUGAGCCAUAGCUUCAAAAAUCUAUCUUUGUUAACUUAUAAAGACAAAAAAACCGAAAACCAAAACCCUAAAACCAAAACAAACAAACAAACAAAAACAAAUGAAAAAACACAAUUAGUUCAUUUAAAGUUAGGGAAAUAUCCAGUGGUCUGUUCUGAUCAGGCCAUUUUACAUAUAACUGCAUACUGACCUUUAAUUGGAGGGUCCCAUGGAUUGGUUUAUGGACCAUUGUAAGAUUAACAAGCCUCAUACAGAACACAACAGGAUGUGGACACCAUGACUUUGCUCUGAGUCAAGUUAUUUUUUCUGUGUUGAUGAUUGGCUGUCAUAUCACAGCAACUGUCUGAAAUAGAGGGCAGACAUAGAACACAAUGGCUCUUGCUAUACUGGGUGGUAUAUGCCUUAGCAUUAGAUUAUCCAGGUCUCUCACAAUGACCAGUUCUGUUUUCAAAGUACUUGAAGGCCCCACUUGGAAGCCCAAAUAUAGGAAAGUGGAAGCAGAAUUGUCUGAGCUCAAGGUUAACCUGGUCCACAUGGGGUAUUUGAGACCCUGUUUCAUAAAACAACACUGAAACACACACUACAUCCAAGGCCUAAUUUACCAAUUCUUGUCUAAGAACUUAUCAUUCUCUCCCUUCCAGUCUUUCUUUCUGGGAAGAUGGAGCAGUGAAAAUGAUCUUUUCAUUCUAAGGACCAUGUUCUCUUUUUCCCUCAGCCCACGUUAAGAACAAAUGAAGGUGAAUACCAUCAUCUGAACAACUGAGUAAUAUCCACUGCUGCUAGCGUGAUAAUGUGCCGAUGAUAAUUUUAGCUUCCUUUAGUGUUGCUGCCCCAGCAGGAAGUAUUAAGUGCUGAGGCCAAAGCUCAGAGAACCUUUCAAGGGGCUAGACAGAAGCCAUCAGAGACUCUCCACUUCCUUGUCCUGAGAUGAAAUCCAGGAACACAAUGUGAACCUGAUGGCUAAUUAACCAUACAUCGUACUUCUACCUCCACCUUUCUACGUUCAGUACAGGAAAGUGUUUAUGCACCUCCAUGCCAGAUUUAUCUUGAUAUAUGUCGCAGGGCGCAGACUUUUUAGAGAGUUGGGUGUAGUCAAGCAGUUGGUGCCCUCAGUAAGAUGUCAAGACUAUCAAUAACAAGUGACCACAUUGUAUUUGUUUAAAAAGUACAUUAGCUGUAAAUUGAGCAUAACUGAGGAAUGGGACACCAGCACUGUGUCCUGGCUUUUUUGUGCCUAGACACGGCUCAAAGGGAAGGUGUGAGGACACCUUGGGUUCCUCUGCAUGGACAGAGUAAGGUGAAAUGGGCACUGACUAGGCUGAGCAAUACUUCUGAGGCCCCUUAUUUCAGUUAACAAACACAUUCUCUGUCCUCCUUCCAAAGAGCUUCUGUUGAGACCAUGCACCUUGUAAGGUAAGGCUAUAGUAAGGUCACGCAGACUUCUUUCCUCGUGAUACAAAGUUCUCUCUGAUAAGUUCUUCUUAUCAGAGAGAACUUUGUAUUGCUAGGUAUGGUAUGCACCAUACCAUAUCUGUAGCAAAUUUCUUAUAAGCCAGCAGUCUAUUUCAUGCUGUUCCUGUAAUAUGCUUCCCAGUCAUGGAUAUAAAACAAACAAAAAAAAUCUUGGCUCAGAGCAGAGUUAUGCUGUCCAUGUACCCUGUCACGUUCUGUAUGUUAUGAGGUUUGUUAAUCUUAUGAAAUUCCACAUCUAUAUGUUUCACAUAAGACUUCAAAUUCAAGGUCAAUAUGAACUAUUAUGUCUAAAACAGCUUGAGUCAGGGCAGCAUUUCCAGCCCUUGUGCGUGAGCUCUUUGUGUUUUUUUUCAUGGAGCUGCCCCUAAGAAAUGCCUAGCAUACAGUUUUCAGCUGUUACCCUGGUUGUUCAGUCAUGGGGUGUGCAUUCAAUAAACCUUCCCUGUUUAACUGAA
Mus musculus (house mouse) is the source of this 3393-nucleotide long non-coding RNA. RefSeq annotates it as predicted gene, 46906. The record is from RefSeq and is a predicted model, not a curated record. NCBI's taxonomy places the organism in Eukaryota, Metazoa, Chordata, Mammalia, Rodentia, Muridae. The transcript is spliced from 2 exons.